GAAACGAUAGCUAAUACCGGAUAACAGCAUUAACUGCGUGGUUAAUGUUUAAAAGUUGGUUUUGCUAACACUAUGAGAUGGCUUUGCGGUGCAUUAGCUAGUUGGUGGGGUAAAGGGCCUACCAAGGCGACGAUGCAUAGCCGACCUGAGAGGGUGAUCGGCCACACUGGGACUGAGACACGGCCCAG
Molecule: ribosomal RNA, 188 nt
Filed under: uncultured Caryophanales bacterium
Lineage: Bacteria; Bacillati; Bacillota; Bacilli; Caryophanales
Description: uncultured Bacillales bacterium partial 16S ribosomal RNA
Rfam family: Bacterial small subunit ribosomal RNA
Source: RNAcentral